GGACUACCGGGGUAUCUAAUCCUGUUCGCUCCCCACGCUUUCGCGCCUCAGCGUCAGUAUUAUGCCAGGUGGCUGCCUUCGCCAUCGACGUUCCUUCCGAUCUCUACGCAUUUCACCGCUACACCGGAAAUUCCGCCACCCUCUCAUAUACUCUAGCAAUACAGUUUGCGAUGCUCUUCCCAGGUUAAGCCCGGGGCUUUCACAUCACACACAUAUCACCGCCUACGCGCCCUUUACGCCCAGUAAUUCCGAUUAACGCUCGCACCCUCUGUAUUACCGCGGCUGCUGGCAC
RNAcentral lists this ribosomal RNA (292 nucleotides) under uncultured bacterium. RNAcentral's name for it is "partial 16S ribosomal RNA". The record is from RNAcentral.